AUACGGAGGGUGCAAGCGUUACUCGGAAUCACUGGGCGUAAAGCGCGCGCAGGCGGGCUGAUAAGUUGGAUGUGAAAGCCUACGGCUCAACCGUAGAACUGCAUCCAAAACUGUCAGUCUAGAGGCUGGGAGGGGAAGAUGGAAUUAGUUGUGUAGGGGUAAAAUCCGUAGAGAUAACUAGGAAUACCAAAAGCGAAGGCGAUCUUCUGGAACAGUACUGACGCUGAGGCGCGAAAGCGUGGGGAGCAAACAGGAUUAGAAACCCUAGUAGUCC
RNAcentral lists this ribosomal RNA (274 nucleotides) under uncultured bacterium. RNAcentral describes it as "partial 16S ribosomal RNA". It matches the Rfam family "Bacterial small subunit ribosomal RNA", at positions 523 to 796 of the family's 1533-position model. The record is from RNAcentral.